This 353-nucleotide transfer-messenger RNA is filed under the name Pseudomonadota bacterium. It matches the Rfam family "transfer-messenger RNA". Rfam says of the family: Bacterial tmRNA, also known as 10Sa RNA or SsrA, is named for its dual tRNA and mRNA-like properties. Its role is to liberate the mRNA from a stalled ribosome. To accomplish this part of the tmRNA is used as a reading frame that ends in a translation stop signal. The record is from RNAcentral. Lineage: Bacteria; Pseudomonadati; Pseudomonadota.
GGGGCCGACCGGUUUCGACAUGGGUUGCGAAACUUCAGGUGCGUACCGAGGUGCAGGUUCCCUCGUUAAACCAACUUGCAAACUUAUAGUUGCCAACGAAGACAACUACGCUCUAGCGGCUUAGGCUGCUGAACCCUGAUCGGCUUGUGCUGAUGCGAACGGUCAGGGGUAGCGCACAUCAGCUAGCGGGAUACACGUGUCUGGGGUGUAUCUUGCGAAUCGCUACCGGGCUGGCUGCACGCUUUCCCUGCCCGUCGGGUUAGCGCGCGGUGAGAACAAUAGACGUGGCUACGUACGUAGAUCUUGAGGCGUAGGACUUAUGGACGGGGGUUCGAUUCCCCCCGGCUCCACCA